GUUUGUGGAGACUUGGGAAAAAUUCACAAGAUCGAUAUUGUUUUAACACCGUAAGUCUCCUGCAUAUGGAAAUUGAGUUGAAAUUUUAUUAUGUUUUAGCCUUAUAUUCUCAUCCUCUGACAGCUUUUGAGUAGUUUAUUUCAGCAGUCAGCACCAUCUCACACACACUCUACGUAGGGAAACCGAUGAAUAUAAGUGAGUGUUCCGAAAAAAAAAGAAGAGAAAUAAAUAAAUAAAGGAAUGCACCUUCUAAGUUUGGUGACCCUCACCCGGUCACUUAACUCAACGGUUGUAGAACAUUCAAAAAAAAAAGUUUUUGACUCGUUGUUAGUUGGUUCAGCGGUUUCUGGUGCUGAACUUGGUAGGGCGAAUUACGGUCCGAUCCCCCGCAACUACAAGUGAGUAAGUAAAGGGUUAUGCCAUUUAAGUACCAGAACCCCGUG
This 443-nucleotide long non-coding RNA is filed under the name Lathyrus oleraceus (garden pea). RNAcentral describes it as "Pisum sativum (pea) long non-coding RNA (PSAT_LNC009718)". The record is from RNAcentral. Lineage: Eukaryota; Viridiplantae; Streptophyta; Magnoliopsida; Fabales; Fabaceae.